CCUACGGGUGGCAGCAGUGGGGAAUAUUGGGCAAUGGGCGCAAGCCUGACCCAGCAACGCCGCGUGAGGGAAGAAGGCUUUCGGGUUGUAAACUUCUUUUAAGCGGGAAGAGCAGAAGACGGUACCUCUUGAAUAAGCGACGGCUAACUACGUGCCAGCAGCCGCAGUAAUACGGAGGUGGCAAGCGUUGUCCGGAUUUACUGGGGGUAAAGGGCGUGCAGCCGGGAAGACAAGUCAGAUGUGAAAUCCCGCGGCUGAACCGCGGAACUGCAUUUGAAACUGGUGUUCUUGAGUACCGGAGAGGUCAGCGGAAUGCCUUGUGUAGCGGUGAAAUGCGUAGAUAUAAGGAAGAACACCAGUGGCGAAGGCAGAUGACUGGACGGCAACUGACGGUGAGGCGCGAAAGCGUGGGGAGCGAACAGGAUUAGAUACCCUUGUAGUC
Molecule: ribosomal RNA, 442 nt
Filed under: uncultured bacterium
Lineage: Bacteria
Description: partial 16S ribosomal RNA
Rfam family: Bacterial small subunit ribosomal RNA
Source: RNAcentral